RNAcentral lists this ribosomal RNA (288 nucleotides) under uncultured bacterium. RNAcentral's name for it is "partial 16S ribosomal RNA". It matches the Rfam family "Bacterial small subunit ribosomal RNA", at positions 773 to 1060 of the family's 1533-position model. The record is from RNAcentral.
GUGGAUUAGUUACCCCAGUAGUCCACGCCCUAAACGGUGCACACUAGGUCUUGGCGGAUUCGACCCCCCCAGGGCCCAAGCUAACGCGUUAAGUGUGCCGCCUGAGGACUACGGCCGCAAGGCUAAAACUCAAAGGAAUUGACGGGGGCCCGCACAAGCGGUGGAGUAUGUGGCUUAAUUCGAUGCAACGCGAAGAACCUUACCUGGCCUUGACAUGCAUUAGACAGACGCUGAAAGGCGUCCUUCCUUCGGGACUGGUGCACAGGUGCUGCACGGCUGUCGUCAGCU